UACAGAGGGUGCAAGCGUUGUUCGGAAUCACUGGGCUUAAAGGGCGCGUAGGCGGGCAGCCAAGUCCGGGGUGAAAGCUUUCGGCUUAACCGGAAAAGAGCCUUGGAUACUGGCUGUCUCGAGGGAGGUAGGGGUCUGUGGAACUUCCAGUGGAGCGGUGAAAUGCGUAGAUAUUGGAAGGAACGCCGGUGGCGAAAGCGACGGACUGGACCUCUUCUGACGCUGAGGCGCGAAAGCCAGGGGAGCAAACGGG
Molecule: ribosomal RNA, 253 nt
Filed under: uncultured bacterium
Lineage: Bacteria
Description: partial 16S ribosomal RNA
Rfam family: Bacterial small subunit ribosomal RNA
Source: RNAcentral